AUUAAAGUGCCUGAUUAUAGGGCCGUUUUGAUAGGACGGAAAAUACAAUUUUUUUUGUCUUUAAUG
RNAcentral lists this transfer RNA (66 nucleotides) under Leiodes picea. RNAcentral's name for it is "tRNA-Ile". The record is from RNAcentral. Lineage: Eukaryota; Metazoa; Arthropoda; Insecta; Coleoptera; Leiodidae.